Molecule: ribosomal RNA, 304 nt
Filed under: uncultured bacterium
Lineage: Bacteria
Description: partial 16S ribosomal RNA
Rfam family: Bacterial small subunit ribosomal RNA
Source: RNAcentral
CAGCAGUCGCCGCGGUAAUACGUAGGUGGCAAGCGUUGUCCGGAAUUAUUGGGCGUAAAAGGCUCGCAGGCGGUUUCUUAAGUCUGAUGUGAAAGCCCCCGGCUCAACCGGGGAGGGUCAUUGGAAACUGGGAAACUUGAGUGCAGAAGAGGAGAGUGGAAUUCCACGUGUAGCGGUGAAAUGCGUAGAGAUGUGGAGGAACACCAGUGGCGAAGGCGACUCUCUGGUCUGUAACUGACGCUGAGGAGCGAAAGCGUGGGGAGCGAACAGGAUUAGAUACCCCUGUAGUCCCUGUCUCUUAUAC